UACGGAGGGUGCAAGCGUUAUCCGGAUUCACUGGGUUUAAAGGGUGCGUAGGCGGAUAUGUAAGUCAGCGGUGAAACUCACAGGCUCAACCUGUGCCGUGCCGUUGAAACUGUGUAUCUGGAAUGCGGAUGCUGUGGGAGGAAUGUGUAGUGUAGCGGUGAAAUGCAUAGAUAUUACACAGAACACCGAUUGCGAAGGCAUCUCACAAAGCCGUUAUUGACGCUGAGGCACGAAAGUGUGGGGAUCAAA
This 249-nucleotide ribosomal RNA is filed under the name uncultured prokaryote. RNAcentral's name for it is "partial 16S ribosomal RNA". It matches the Rfam family "Bacterial small subunit ribosomal RNA", at positions 524 to 772 of the family's 1533-position model. The record is from RNAcentral.